GGCGGUGUAGCUCAGCGGCUAGAGCACGCGGUUCAUACCCGCGGAGUCACUGGUUCGAAUCCAGUCACCGCUACCA
Molecule: transfer RNA, 76 nt
Filed under: Coriobacteriia bacterium
Lineage: Bacteria; Bacillati; Actinomycetota; Coriobacteriia
Also listed under: 2 other names
Description: tRNA-Met
Rfam family: tRNA
About the family: Transfer RNA (tRNA) molecules are approximately 80 nucleotides in length. Their secondary structure includes four short double-helical elements and three loops (D, anti-codon, and T loops). Further hydrogen bonds mediate the characteristic L-shaped molecular structure. tRNAs have two regions of fundamental functional importance: the anti-codon, which is responsible for specific mRNA codon recognition, and the 3' end, to which the tRNAs corresponding amino acid is attached (by aminoacyl-tRNA synthetases). tRNAs cope with the degeneracy of the genetic code in two manners: having more than one tRNA (with a specific anti-codon) for a particular amino acid; and 'wobble' base-pairing, i.e. permitting non-standard base-pairing at the 3rd anti-codon position.
Source: RNAcentral